AAUUCACCCCGACCUUAACAAUGCCAAGGUCGAAAUAAUGUUGCCAUCUUAUGUCCCCCCUCAAACCACGUACAACUUUCGUCUAAAAUAUUUUUGCCUAUUAAGUUCAAUUUUCGAUAUAUUUUGGUGUUUUGUCUUAGGUGAAAUAUGAUAUACGUAGGAAAAUAUUCGAUGAGAAAACUUUCUUGAUUGACAAAGACAGUCGUUAUCGCGUCUGGAGAAUCGACAAUACCAGAUACGAGUAGAACAACAUUUUACCAUCGCUGAGCAGUAUGUGGACAUUCUAGAUGGAAUCAUGCUGCCCAGAGUACGAAGAUGCUAUAACGAACAAGAUCACCUCAGGAUUGUCGUCGUGGAAGAUAACAAUCCAAACCAUACCGCUAGGAUUACCAGAGUUCAAUAUGAGGACCAUUCAGACAUCAUACAGUUAAAUUUUGGCCUCCAAGAUCUCUAGACCUCAUUGGAAAUCUUUGAGCAACGAGCGUGCAUCUACACUGUAAAAAAACUUGUGUAGCUUGGGCUGAACUAGCAUCCUGUUUAUUGCCAGGCAAUAGUUAAUUCGAUGCACUGCAAACUACUAACUGUAUUAGCCACCGAUGGACACGCUAUAAACUUAGAGGCUCGGCACGGCAUUCUUGGUAUGCAAGGAAAUGGACGUCCCUCGGUUUCGACGGGUGCUGUGUAUUAUAUAAAUGUAUUAUUA
Molecule: long non-coding RNA, 703 nt
Organism: Mycetomoellerius zeteki
Lineage: Eukaryota; Metazoa; Arthropoda; Insecta; Hymenoptera; Formicidae
Exons: 3
Source: RefSeq, a predicted model, not a curated record